This is a non-coding RNA of Cyanistes caeruleus (blue tit), 396 nucleotides long. The record is from RefSeq and is a predicted model, not a curated record. NCBI's taxonomy places the organism in Eukaryota, Metazoa, Chordata, Aves, Passeriformes, Paridae.
CUCUUGUGACCUACUGCAGCAUCACUGAGAGCAGUUUGGGUUCACUGCAAUUCCUGUGCUGGGAGAAGAAAGGGGUGUCUUGGGAGAAUGUUUGUAGCCAUCAAAGUAUUGAUGGAAGGAAAGAAAGAAGAGGGUUUUCAUUGUUAACUUUAAAAAAGCCAGAAUGGAAGGCCUUCUUUCUGUUAUCUGGCUGUUCCCAGCCACAGCACUGGGAGGGCAAGUGCAAUCCAAGGUCUUGCAGAUUGUAGGAGCCAAGGAAGAGUCCUUCCACAGUCCUCUGUGCAGGAGGAGGAUUUUCAUGUCAUUCGCCCAGUUUCAGCACAGGAGAGCCACUGAAAGGCAGAGGCACCUCCUACCUCAGACAAAUUUCAAUUAAAAUUCCUAUUUGAAGAGUCA